Peromyscus maniculatus bairdii (prairie deer mouse) is the source of this 1898-nucleotide non-coding RNA. The record is from RefSeq and is a predicted model, not a curated record. Lineage: Eukaryota; Metazoa; Chordata; Mammalia; Rodentia; Cricetidae.
AAUUAAUUUCCCCAGGAAGGAACAAAGACAGCAUGAUGAAUAAUCUCCACUGUCAACGUGACUAGAUCUGGAAUCGACUAAGAGAUGAGCCCCUGUACACACUGACGUUGAGAACACCCACCCUGAAUCCCCAGUGAAAGAGAAGGCCGACUGCAACUUAAAUUUUUCAAAGGAGAAGAAAAAUGAUGGUGGAUUACGUGGCAUCCCAGCAACAUCUGAGCUUCCACCUCUUCUACAAGGACCUCACUCAUCUUCUCUAACCAACUUCCUGUUUCUUUUUCCGUCAUUGGAGACAUACGACCUUAUUCUGCCCCGCGGACAGACGUCAAGAGCAGAGGCAAUCAGAAGGGCCCAUCCAUAGUCACCAACUUUUCAGACUGAUGGAACUGUAAAGACAAAUGCCAUCCCUUCUGAGAUUCACAGGCAAGAAAAAUAUCUUCACCCCCUGGGCAAGGUCACACCUGACUCCUUCAUGCUAACGCUGAUGCAGACUGACAAUAUUGUGCUGUUUUAGUCUUUCAUAAAUACACCUCAUUGUACAGCCAAUAAUUACCUGGACUUCUCAGAGGAAAGAGCUGUUACAUGAAGUAAGAGAUAAUUUUCCAAGUUGACCUGUUUUGUUUUCCAUCUAGAAUUUGAACACUGAGUCUAUAAUCCUUGGAGACUCCCCUCUGGUAGCAAAACUCAGAAUAACAUACAUAAUCAAUCCUGUUUCACGGACAGGUAUUUUUGGCACCAACAAAUCAAAAUCUAUUCAGUUUAGUUGAAGGGAAGAGAAAAAAAUAAAAAUACUGCUGAGGCUCAGAAAAUGAUUUUUCCAAAUUAAAGUGUCAGAAACAAAGUUUUGUGUCCGACCUUCUCCUGCCCGUCUGUCUCCUGCCUUCCAUCAUCAGCCCCUUCUUUUCUGCACAAGGAAGCCACAGAAACUACUGUUCAUCUUCCCCCAAAGAAGGGUCAUAGAAACCAGAAUCCGUUAUCCCCAAUGCCAGGCAACAGCACCGCAUUGGCCCCUCCUAAUAUUUGUCUGUAAGGAUUGGCCAUAAAGAAAUUGUCUAAGGGGUGGGCUCAAGUCAGUAGCGCACCAAGCUGCACAAGCAGGAAGGCUUCAGUUCAGAUCUCCAAAACCCAGAUAAAAAGCCAGACAUGGCAGGCCUGAACAUCUCUAACUGCUGUACUGGGUAGGAGAGAAGGAAAAUACCGAAGCUCACUGCCAGCCAGUCUAACCAAUAGGUGAGCAACAGGUUUGGUGAGAGACCUUGUCUCAAAAAUUGUGGAGAAUGGUACAGGGUGACUCCCACAUUGGCCUCUGGCCUCACACACAUAUAUACAUGGGCACAUGCACCCAUACACUCUAUAUACCCCUGUCUCUUUCUCUCUGUCUCCCCCUACCGUGUUCUCUCUCUCUCUCUCUCUCUCUCUCUCUCUCUCUCUCUCUCUCUCUCUCACACACACACACACACACACACACACACACACACACACACACGUGCUUCACUGCCAGUCAUAAUAAGACCACUUGAUAAAAACUACUUCCAUUCUAGAAAGAAUUCUACACCAUAAGCGGGAGGAAGGAAUGCGACAUAUAGAAGCCAAUAAUGUGGACAGACCCAUCUUGCUGAGAGUCUCUUUAGUUUAUUACUUAUAGGUCACACCCAUUUGGACCCAUCAUUUCUAUACAGCUACCUACUCUUCACUUAAGAGUAAAAUGAGUUACAUCAGCCUAAGGCUUAGGAUCUUCAAAAUUAAGGUCCUGUGUUGUGCAUAGAAUUAUUUAUAUAUAGUCAUUAUAUAUAGUCACUAUUUAUAUAAACACAUAUAUGUUUAUAAUUCUACAUCUGUAUUGUUUAUCAGUUAACUUGUCUUUUGUUAGAAAGGUAUUGCUUUAUGAAGGACAUAUA